AGAGUUUGAUCCUGGCUCAGAACAAACGCUGGCGGCGUGCCUAAUACAUGCAAGUCGAACGAGGAAGUAUCUUCGGAUAUUGUACUAGUGGCGUACGGGUGAGUAACGCGUGGAUAAUCUUCCUUAAAGUGGGGAAUAACUAGUCGAAAGAUUAGCUAAUACCGCAUAAGACCACAGGGGCUUCGGCUCUAGGGGUUAAAGCCUAACGGCGCUUUAAGAUGAGUCUGCGCCCGAUUAGCUAGUUGGUGAGGUAAAGGCUCACCAAGGCGACGAUCGGUAGCUGGUCUGAGAGGACGGCCAGCCACACUGGGACUGAGACACGGCCCAGACUCCUACGGGAGGCAGCAGUAGGGAAUAUUGCACAAUGGAGGAAACUCUGAUGCAGCGACGCCGCGUGAGUGACGAAGGCCUUCGGGUUGUAAAGCUCUGUUCUCAGGGAAAAAGAAAGUGAUUGUACCUAGAAGAAAGG
RNAcentral lists this ribosomal RNA (469 nucleotides) under uncultured bacterium. RNAcentral describes it as "bacterial SSU rRNA". It matches the Rfam family "Bacterial small subunit ribosomal RNA", at positions 8 to 491 of the family's 1533-position model. The record is from RNAcentral.